AUUUAUAUAGUUUAAUAAAAACAUUACAUUUUCACUGUAAAAAUAAAGAAUUAAUCUUUUAUAGAUU
Molecule: transfer RNA, 67 nt
Filed under: Monodiamesa sp. 2 CZ-2021a
Lineage: Eukaryota; Metazoa; Arthropoda; Insecta; Diptera; Chironomidae
Description: tRNA-Glu
Rfam family: tRNA
About the family: Transfer RNA (tRNA) molecules are approximately 80 nucleotides in length. Their secondary structure includes four short double-helical elements and three loops (D, anti-codon, and T loops).
Source: RNAcentral